Molecule: long non-coding RNA, 370 nt
Organism: Aethalodelphis obliquidens (Pacific white-sided dolphin)
Lineage: Eukaryota; Metazoa; Chordata; Mammalia; Artiodactyla; Delphinidae
Exons: 3
Source: RefSeq, a predicted model, not a curated record
ACAAAAGCGAGAAGAAUUUGAAGCUAAGCCAGUGGACUUUGUUUGACAAAUCCAGCUGAUUCUCAAUUAUCCUGACUAAUGAGGCACAGAAAUUGCCUGAGAACAAUGAUGGCCUCUUUGGAAAUAUGCCUAAAUUAAGAAACGUGCCUUCAGUUUCUUCAGAAGAGCAAGCAUGUGUUUGCAUACACACCUCAGCUUGGCUUGUUUUUUCUUCCUCCCUGUGGUGAUUGUGAUGAGCUAUUUACCACCUAUCAUGUGGCAAGCUUGAUGCUCUACUUCAGAGGUUCUAAGAUAAUUUGUACAUCACUUUGCCUGCCUUAAAGAUGCUCAUAAACCAACAAAGAGAGGCAUCUGAUCCAUGUGUUAUCAA